Long non-coding RNA from Uranotaenia lowii, 999 nucleotides. RefSeq lists it as uncharacterized. The record is from RefSeq and is a predicted model, not a curated record. The transcript is spliced from 4 exons. NCBI's taxonomy places the organism in Eukaryota, Metazoa, Arthropoda, Insecta, Diptera, Culicidae.
CAAUAUUCUUCCUUGUCCACAGUUUUUUCAUAACGGUACUAUUAUCGCUGUGUGCCCUUAAGAUGCGAAUUAUUGCGUUUUGUUUUGGUCGUGUUUAACAUAGUGUAGUGUAAUGUGGUGUAUUUUAUUGUUGCUGUUGGACCUGCUGCUGUUGUUAGGCUGGACCGGAGCCGCGCUCACUGGACAAUAUUUCUGUUUGUUUCGGAUUGGCUGCUGAACUAUCUCAUCGAUUUCGCUGUUGGCUGCUACUCGACGUGUUCCCUCUCGGUAUUCGCUCUCCCAGUGUGGCGAUUAGAUCCUGGAACAAAUUCAAUGGAUUCGACAGGUUUACGGAAUCCCAGCGGGCGCAAUGAUGUUAUCAGAGAAAAAAAUUGCUGUCGUUAUUUGCGUGUUGGAUGAUGAUGGUAAAUUGCUCCCGUAACUUGGAUUGUAGGCUCUAUCAAAAUGAUACGACUGGAUGGCUGCUUCGGAUCGGAUCGCAUUUGACAUCGGUUGCAUGUGACGUAGAAAAUCCGUAUUCUUUACUCCAAAGGUGAAAUGCAAACGGAAUUUCCGCAAUGCCUGAUUCGGUUCAAUCCCUGAAGGUGAAGGGUAUACACGGCCGGUGCAGAUGGUUAACAACUCAAAGUUGACCCUGGGUAUGCUGAACUAAAAUCUGGUGGUGUGGAGCUACGGGGGACACAGGCAGGAGAUCACUAGCAGAUGCCUAUGAUGGAUCUGGUCCUCGUCAGCUGCAGAUUUUCCCAUAUAGUGUGGCUGUGUAGUAUGGUGAAAAUGACGACAUGUAGCUGCAGAACUGCUCACGAUGCUCCGGCCCGACCGAGUGGUGAUCUGGAGAUGGCAGAUGGAUCUCGAUUUGGAUAAUUGCCUCGUCGACCUUCGCUCGCCUUGGUAAUUCAGGACUGCCGGACAGUUGGAUCGAACCUUCAACGACCGAUGGAAUGAUACCUGGGUGCAGAGGGGAACUGCUUAGCAUUUUCAAAAAAAAAAACUCAAAAU